This 251-nucleotide ribosomal RNA is filed under the name uncultured bacterium. RNAcentral's name for it is "partial 16S ribosomal RNA". It matches the Rfam family "Bacterial small subunit ribosomal RNA", at positions 525 to 775 of the family's 1533-position model. The record is from RNAcentral.
ACGUAGGGAGCGAGCGUUAUCCGGAUUUAUUGGGUGUAAAGGGUGCGUAGACGGGAAAAUAAGUUAGUUGUGAAAUCCCUCGGCUUAACUGAGGAACUGCAACUAAAACUGUUUUUCUUGAGUGCUGGAGAGGAAAGUGGAAUUCCUAGUGUAGCGGUGAAAUGCGUAGAUAUUAGGAGGAACACCAGUGGCGAAGGCGACUUUCUGGACAGUAACUGACGUUGAGGCACGAAAGUGUGGGGAGCAAACAG